This is an RNA transcript of Nelumbo nucifera (sacred lotus), 2743 nucleotides long. It is a transcript of the gene named ferric reduction oxidase 8, with no coding region annotated. Lineage: Eukaryota; Viridiplantae; Streptophyta; Magnoliopsida; Proteales; Nelumbonaceae. The record is from RefSeq and is a predicted model, not a curated record.
AGAACCACCACGAUUAAGGUUCUACAGUUCCAGAAGUGAUCGAACCUGCUCUUCACAGGUGGGGACUGGGGAGUGGGGACCUAUCUUUCAGUACCCUGCACGCUGCAGAGGGAAGGAAGUGUCCUCUCUCUCUCUCUCUCUGUUUCUUCCGUCAGACUCUAUAAAAGGGAGAUCAAAUCCUUCUCAAUUGACUCCAACUCACAGCUCUGCAAUUUUAUGCCAGAAAGUAAAAAAAGAAGAAGAAAAAAAACAGACAUGCCGAUGACGUCUAUUCUUCUUACUGUUCUCAAGGUGUUGAUGAUCUUGAUUUUUGCUAGUUGGGUUUGCCUCUGGCUCCUCAAACCCACAGAACUAUGGACCAAAUCAUGGCACAAGGCCGAAGACAGUGCAAGGAACACGUUUUUUGGAUACAACGGUCUCGAUUUCUCGGUUUAUUCGUUUCCCAUUAUUGCCGUGGCCAUAAUUGGAUUCAUUUACAUGCAUUUGCGUGCUAGGGAGCCAACAAGAAGACAGAAGAGAUUCCCAAUCACCACGCUCUCCAAUCCAGUUAUUGUUCAUAGCCCUCUGGGUAUUAUAUCAACCUGGGAGCUUCUUAUUGCAGCUCUCUUUGUACUCUUUCUGUUAUGGACAAUCUAUGUUCAUAUCUCCAAGGACUUCAAGAAGCUGACACCUCCAAAAUCAUUGAAGUUGGAAGUAUGGCAGAUUAAGUUUAUGAGGGUGGGGAUCAGAUUUGGUUUGCUAGCGGAAGCGUGCCUGGCUUUGUUACUUUUUCCCAUUCUAAGGGGAAUGGCUUUAUUUAGGCUAUUUGGUCUCCAGUUUGAAGCUUCGGUACGAUACCAUGUCUGGUUUGGCACUGCAAUGAUAUUUUUUGCAACAUUACAUGGCUCUAGUAGUUUGUUCAUCUGGGGUGUUAAACAUCGUCUUCAGGAUGAGAUGUGGCUGUGGCAAAAAACAGGGCGGAUAUACCUCGCCGGUGAGAUUGCUCUUGCAACAGGACUAGUGAUCUGGAUCACGUCUCUUCCACAAAUACGAAGGAAGCGGUUUGAACUUUUCUACAACACCCAUCAUUUGUAUGCUGUAUUCUUAGUAUUCUUCUUGUUCCAUGCUGGAGACCGGCAUUUCUACAUGGUGUUCUCUGGGGUUUUUCUUUUUGCACUGGACAAACUUCUCCGAAUCAUACAGUCGCGACCAGAAACUUGUAUUAUUUCUGCUCGCAUCUUCCCUUGCAAAGCUGUAGAACUUAUCCUCUCAAAACACCCCAGAUUGAAGUACACCCCUACAAGUAUUAUAUUUUUGAAGAUACCCAGUAUCUCAAAGUUUCAGUGGCACCCUUUUAGCAUAAUUUCUAGCUCCUGUGUGGAUGAUGACACAAUAUCUAUUAUAAUCAGAUGUGAAGGCCAGUGGACGAGCACUCUCUAUAACACAAUACAUGCUGCAUUAGACUCUGGUGCUGAUCAGGGAAAGUGCCUCCAAGUUGCAAUUGAAGGCCCUUAUGGGCCUGCCUCCACAAACUUCCUAAGAUAUGACAGCCUACUUCUUGUCGCAGGAGGAAUAGGGAUAACCCCAUUUCUAAGUAUUCUUCAGGAAAUUGCUUCUUCUCCAAAGAGCAAAAGGAGCAAAUUUCUGACACAGAUACAACUGAUAUAUGUUGUGAAGAAGUCUCAAGAUAUCAGUCUGUUAAAUCCAAUCUCAUCUGUAAUUUUGAACCAGAAGGCUGAGCAAGGAAACAGUAUAAAACUAAAACUUUUUGUAACUCAAGAAGAAAGAUCUAGUACAACACUAAGAGAAUUUCUGAGUGAGCUCUCUCAGGUUCAGACAGUCAACUUCAAGAGAAAUUACUCGACUCAUGCAGUGUUUGGAUUUGAAAGCUUAGUUUGGAUGGCUUCUGCAGCUGGGUUUUCCUCCAUUAUUUUCCUCAUUUUACUUGGGUGCUUAAGCCGUGCCUUUCUUCAUCAUGAAAGGAAAGCCUCUGAGAAGAACCCAUCAUGGGUUACAGAUCUUCUCCUUAUAUGCUCAUUUUUUAUUGCAGUAUCUUGCACCACUUUGGCCCUGGCUUUUAUGAGAUGGAGAAGAAUGAAGAAAGAAAAUUUUCAGGUCUCCCAGAAUCAACACAAGAGCACUGAAGCGAUUUCCAUUGAAGCAGGGGAUACACUUGAAGAACACGAAAUCCAUUUUGGAAAGAGGCCCAACCUUCAAGACAUACUUGCUCAAUUUCCAACUCAGUCUGGGGGGUCAAAUAUAGGAGUUCUAGUCUGUGGACCCGAAUCAAUGAAAGAGUCGGUGGCAUCGUUCUGCAAGAAAAACUCACAAGGUCCCAAGAUUGAAGCCAAGAGAAGCAAGCCUUACUUCAGUUUCCACUCCCUCAACUUUUCCCUCUAAUUUCACCUUCUUGGUACUUUCUUGGUGUGUGUUCCUGCUGAAGAAUGAUCUACUUCCAUCAAUAGCAUAGAGCUCUAUAGCAUCUUGGGAAAAACCAUGCACUUGAUGGCUUUUAUGGGUUAUUUAACCAAUGAUAAAUUAAUAAUACCCUAUGUCAUUUGUGGUCCAAUGAGGUCGAAAUGGAACAAGACAAUUCACAAAGGAGGUGACGAUUGCUAAAUCCAUUGUUGGAGAUGGAAGAUGAUUAGAGGAUACUCUUUUUUUUUUUUUUUAUUUCCUAAUAAUCUGUGACGGAUGUCAUAAUAUUUUGUUAUACAAAAGAUGUUUGAAGUCCAAAUGACAACAAACCAUCAGCCCUAGUUUC